This is a long non-coding RNA of Nerophis ophidion (straightnose pipefish), 2908 nucleotides long. RefSeq lists it as uncharacterized. The transcript has 4 exons. Lineage: Eukaryota; Metazoa; Chordata; Actinopteri; Syngnathiformes; Syngnathidae. The record is from RefSeq and is a predicted model, not a curated record.
UAGUUUUAGAAAUCGUUUAAAAAUGUUGUAUUAAACUAAAAACAAAUUAACAAAAAAAACGAAUCCGAUCAAAUGGAACAUAUAGGUAAAAUAUCAGUCCAAGGCUAGACCCUCAGAGGGUGUCCAGACUGAGUCCAAGGAAAAAAUCUCACAUAGCAUGGCACACAUAAAACAUAAUACAUAUAUCACACCAACUUGCAACACGGGGAGGAGUGGGUUUGAGGAGGCCGGCUGUCGCUAUAUAGUGCUGCUCAGCCAUCCACAGCCCCAGAGGAAUUAAGCGGUGGUGAAGGGGUUGAUUCGAGGGUGGGGUGUUGUGUGUGCAUAUACUGUAUGCCCAAUUAACUUGGCAGGGAUGAUGAAAUGUUUUUUAUGGACUGAGUUCGAUCUCAAAGUUCGACACCAGGUGUUGACAAAAAGGAAGGUCAAAAGCGUCCAUCUUUGAGGAGUCCUCGGAGAAGUUCUUCAGAAUAAUCAUUAGCUGACAGCUCGAGUGCUAAUUUCUAGCUGGCGACUAGUACGCUAAUCGCUAGCUGGAAUUGUGAGCAGGUAACUAGUGCUGAUUGAUUGAUUGAUUGAGACCUUUUAGUACACAGUACAGUACAUAUUUUGUACAAUUGACCACUAAAUGGUAACACCCGAAUCAGUUUUUCAACUUGUUUAAGUCGGGGUCCAAGCUGGCAACUAGCACAGUAAUCCCGAGCUGGCAACUACAGCGCUAAUUGCUACCUGGCAACCUGUGCGGUAAAUGGCUAGCUAGCGACUAGAGCGCUAAUCGCUUGCUGGCAAUUAGAGUGCUAGUUCGGGCUAGGUUAGUUUUUGCUGAAAGUCUGAAGAAUGACAUCCAUUGCUUUUGUCCUCUCCAAGGUUCUCAUAGUCAUCAUUGUCACCGACGUCCCACUGGGUCAUUUUUGUCACCGAUGUCCCACUGGGUGUGAGUUUUCCUUGCCCUUAUGUGGGCCUACCGAGGUUGUCGUAGUGGUUUGUGCAGCCCUUUGAGACACUAGUGAUUUAGGGCUAUAUAAGUAAACAUUGAUUGAUUGAUUGAAUGCACAACCGACCUGAUGAAUCUGAAAGAGGAGACGAUGCGGGUAUCAUCUUGCUCACAGAUGCCACCCGGUGGUUGUUUGAACACACUGCAGCUACUCCCGGAGAGGAUAAAACAAGUGACAACACAACUCUUCCUCCAAAUGGCAGCUUGGGCACUGAUCGCUUGCUGUCUUAAAUGCUGACACGAACACAAUGUGGGGUUAAAAACUCAGAAGUGUCAGUCAAGUGUCAAUCCAUGCCCUACAUCAGUGGUUCUCAACCUUUCUUCAGUGAUGUACCCCCUGUGAACAUUUUUUUAAUUCAAGUACCCCCUAAUCAGAGCAAAGCAUUUUUGGUUGAAAAACAGAGAUAAAGAAGUAAAAUACAGCACUAUGUCAUCAGUUUCUGAUUUAUUAAAUUGUAUAACAGUGCAAAAUAUUUUUCAUUUGUAGUGGUCUUUCUUGAACUAUUUAGAAAGAAAGAUAAAAAAUACCAAAAAACUUGUUGAAAAAUAAACAAGUGAUUCAAUUAUAAAUAAAGAUUUCUACACAUAGAAGUAAUCAUCAACUUAAAGUGCCCUCUUUGGGGAUUGUAAUAGAGAUCCAUCUGGAUUCAUCAACUUAAUUCUAAACAUUUCUUCACAAAAAAUAAAUCUUUAACAUCAAUAUUUAUGGAACAUGUCCACAAAAAAAUCUAGCUGUCAACACUGAAGAUCGCAUUGUUGUAUUUUUCUUUUCACAGCUUAUGAACUUACAUUCAUAUUUAAGUAUUAUUCAAUAAAUAUAUUUAUAAAGGAUUUUUGAAUUGUUGCUAUUUUUAGAAUAUUUUAAAAAAAAUCUCACGUACCCCUUGGCAUACCUUCAAGUACCCCCAUUUUAGAACCACUGUCCCACAUGGUGGAAAAUGACACGGUCAAAACCAAUGAGAACUACAAUUCCCAGAAUGCCAAGGGAAAAUGACCGCCAAAUUACUGAUUGAAGGCACCUGACAAGGAAUGGCGGUUCAGUCGGACUCGUUCGGCAAACAAGAAGAGCAAGCGGCCACAAGCACAAUAUCUACUCUGCAACUUUCCCUAAACACACCAAUGUGGCCUUCUAGGGAUUUUUUUCCUGUGAGAUGUUCCUUCCUACCUCACACACGCUGGAGACAAUGUGAAGCUUGUGUUGGAUGGAGGCCAUCCCGUCGUUGAAGGCCGACUUGAAGAUGAUGCAGCGGGCCCUGCCAGCGAAGUCUGGAAUCUGCGAAAGCUCGUACAGGAACCUGAAUCGUAUAAACAAGGGAAGCCAUCGUCCAUCCGUCUUGCAAGUGCUAACACAAUCAAUCACACUUCUGUUGGGUUUCAUACUCACUGUUCAGAUGGAGGCUUGAGAUGAGGAUGCCCACAGUCUGAGAACGCUUACCAUCCAGCAGCUUGAUGAUCUGCGGGGGCACUUCCGCCUUAUUGAGUUGGUGAAAAGUCACGUGGUCUUCAAUUACCAGCAGUCGGACUGCAGGACAGAAGUCAAAGGACGCUACUAUCUGCCUCAUUUCUUUGUUCGUCACAGGUUAGUACUGUAUCAAAACAUUAAUGAUUUCAUGUGUUUAUUGUAAAGCACAAGCAGGUACUGGUGAAAAGUUUGAUGAGCAGGACAUUCAAUUUGUGUACUUUUGAGGUGCCUAAACUUGUCAUUUUGCUAUAGGAACCAGCUUAAUUGCUACGUUGUCGGUAUAGCUCAGUGAAAGUAAUGUGAUUUGUCUAAAAGGCUCAAACUUAAUUUACUUUUGGCUCCCUGAACAUGAUAAAAGUCUGUUAUGCGUGCACAUUUUUUUAAUGGUAUCUUAAUGUGUUAAAAUACUAACUGACAUUUUGGGAUUUCCUAUUCCAUUGCAUUGUACUUAA